UAAACAGCGAUGAUAAAAACUACGAUUUAUAAAUUUCUUCAGAGAGCCGAUGGUUGGUGAGAAUCGGUGAAAGGUUAAGUCUUUCCACUUUUGGAGCUGUAUAUGAUAAAGCACAAUUUUAUUUGUGCCUAAAUAUAAAGGUUAGUAACCUCUAUAUUACUAAUGAAGUGGCUGAUUUAUAUUAUUUAUCAGCAAUUUGGGUGGCAACGCGGAUUAUUCCGUCCCAAUA
RNAcentral lists this non-coding RNA (229 nucleotides) under Clostridium chromiireducens. RNAcentral's name for it is "T-box sequence". It matches the Rfam family "T-box leader". From Rfam's summary of the family: Uncharged tRNA acts as the effector for transcription antitermination of genes in the T-box leader family. T-boxes are found upstream of many aminoacyl-tRNA synthetase genes and some amino acid biosynthetic genes usually in Gram-positive bacteria. The record is from RNAcentral. Lineage: Bacteria; Bacillati; Bacillota; Clostridia; Eubacteriales; Clostridiaceae.